CUCAUAAACGAGCUCUCGAGGCAGUUUUGUGAGACUCCAAAAAAGGCUUUCACGAGGUCAAUGCUGGUGGCAUAAGUACCUGCUGGGCUUCCCAGGACAGCAGCUGACAGCACAGGCUUGGCAGACACCCCUGAGAGAGUCUUCGGCACAUAUGAUGUCCUCUAUUGAUGUUUGCUGAAUAGAUGAGGAUGCCAAAAGAGGGAGGAGAUACCAAAAGAGGGAAAGAAGGACACCCAGAAGACAAAUGGUGCUCACCUUGAGG
Gorilla gorilla gorilla (western lowland gorilla) is the source of this 262-nucleotide long non-coding RNA. RefSeq lists it as uncharacterized. The record is from RefSeq and is a predicted model, not a curated record. The transcript is spliced from 2 exons. NCBI's taxonomy places the organism in Eukaryota, Metazoa, Chordata, Mammalia, Primates, Hominidae.